GGGGUCCCACAACCUUCACAGGACGUUGUGAAGGUCAUGGUGGGUCUGGGGUCUCCGGUCCAUGGGGAGAACAUGGUUGGGGUCCCACAUGUUCCAAAGGAGGAGGUUGUGGUGGGGAUGGGGUCUUCAGGCCAUGGGGAGAACCUGGUUGAGAUGGGGAUGGGGGCUUCAAACCAUGGGGAGAACCUGGCUGGGGUCCCACAGGUUCCAAAGGAGGAGGUGGUGGUUGUGGGUCUGGGGUCUUCAGGCCAUGGGGAGAAUGUGGUAGGGGUUGGGUUGGGGUCUUCAAACCAUGGGGAGAAUGUGGUUGGGGUCCCACAUGUUCCAAAGGAGGAGGUUGUGGUUGUGGGUCUGGGGUCUUCAGGCCAUGGGGAGAACCUGGCUGGGGUUGGGUUGGGGGCUUCAGGCCAUGGGGGCAACGUGGUAGGGGUCCCACAGCCUUCACAGGACAUUGUGAAGGUCAUGGUGGGGAUGGGGGCUUCAGGCCAUGGGGAGAAUGUGGUAGGGGUCCCACAGGUUCCAAAGGAGGAGGUGGUGGUGGGGAUGGGGAGUUCUAAGGAGGUUGUGGUUGUGGGUCUGGGGUCUUCAGGCCAUGGGGAGAACCUGGCUGGGGUCCCACAGGUUCCAAAGGAGGAGGUUGUGGUGGGUCUGGGGUCUCCGGUCCAUGGGGAGAACAUGGUAGGGGUCCCACAUGUUCCAAAGGAGGAGGUUGUGGUUGUGGGUCUGGGGUCUCCGGUCCAUGGGGAGAACGUGGUUGGGGUCCCAGAGACCCCCAAGGAGACCCCAAUUGUGGGUCUGGGGUCUUCAGCCCCAGAGGAGACCCCAGCCCAGAAUUUGGACCCCCAGACCCCUCAGGAGACCCCCAGGGACCCCCAAAUCCAUGGAGGGACCCCCGAGAUGGUCCCAGACCCCCCGAAAAAACCCCAAAAUUUUGGGGUGGUCCCAGAGCCCCCCAAAGACCCCCAGGACCCCCCAAAGUGACCCCAAAUUUGGGACUGAGACCCCCCAAAAUUACCCCAAAUUUGGGACUGAGACCCCCCAAAAUGACCCCAAAAUUUGGGAUUGGGACCCCUGAAAAUGACCCCAAAAUUUGGAUUUAGGACC
Molecule: long non-coding RNA, 1104 nt
Filed under: Zonotrichia albicollis (white-throated sparrow)
Lineage: Eukaryota; Metazoa; Chordata; Aves; Passeriformes; Passerellidae
Description: lncRNA (ENSZALG00000001942.1)
Source: RNAcentral